UCCGUAAAACUACCCUCCUAGCGACCUCCAACGCCUCGGUCCUCACCCAGAACAUCACAUUAAACUUUUCAACAGUCACAGAUAGGAAGGGGCUCGGUGUGGAAGGUGCCAGCUCUGGCUCAGCCCUGCGGACUCAGCCCGCCUGCACCCAGGUGAAAUAUACAGCCUUGUUGCUCACACAAAGCCUGUUUGGUGGUUUCUUCACACGGAUGCAUGUGACAUUUGGUGCUGAAGACCCAGGACAGGAGGACUCCUUUGGGAGACCAGUGCCCUGUUGUCGCCCUCACUCCGUGAGGAGAUCCACCUAUGAUCUCAGGUCCUCAGACCAACCAGCCCAAGGAACAUCUUGCCAAUUUCAAAUCGGCUCUCCCCGAUCUGCCCAACAAUUUCCUGUUAAAGAGAUGGCUGACUAUCCUGACUUCAUCAGAGCAGGCUGGUGCCUGGCCUUCCUGGAAUGAGUGGGUGUUCUGACAGGCCCCCAGUUUGUCCCAUCUGCACCGCCAAGAGGUCUCCGGGUGGCCAGAGGAGCAAAGUUGCCUUCCAAGUGCCUGUUGGUGCCUGGGAGAACACAGCAGGAGUGUCGUGCGGCCCACAGCGCAGUGCAUGGUGAUUCCAGGCGCUGAACAACUCCCCUUGACCCUUGGGCCUGCAUCUGACUCCCGGCUGCAGAAUCAGAAGCUGAGUCCAGGCAACCGCUCGGCCACUCCCGGUCACUCCUCUCUGGACACCCAGUUACUAAAGUCAGCAAAGAAGAUGCGGUAAUCACCGCCUGAUCUCCACAUGGUGAACACAACACUCUCACUAACACCUCCUUGACCAGUCAGUCUUCAGCACUGGGGGUGGACAGGCAGGUUUUCUGUGUUUACCAGAAUCGCACAGGCUAAGCACAAACAUGGAACCAGAGUUCCAGGUGAGGAAACCUCACUCGCAGAAGCCCAGGCUGCACCCCACCAGGUGAUGCAGUGCGCCUAGGCUGUGGGUGCUAGGAGCCAAGUGCUAGGGACUCGUCAUGAGUGGGAAUCCCCACGUUCCUGUCACUGCUGUCAAACAGAAGGUAAACAGUCUUACGAAUGUAAUUCCUUAGGAAGACUUGUACAAACUUUUAUUAGGAUAUCUAUUUAUUUAAUACUGAACUUUGGCCUACUUUGUGAUAAGACUAUAAACAAAUUGAGGAAAUCACUAUUUCUCACUUCUGUAUUUCUCAAAAAAUAAUUUUGUUACAGAGUUCAAUAUACUGUGUACUACUGAUCUUCUAUUGUGAAAGCAAAGCAUUUCAUCAAAACAAAGUAUUUUAAAUUAUGAGUGAAAA
RNAcentral lists this long non-coding RNA (1309 nucleotides) under Homo sapiens (human). RNAcentral's name for it is "oligodendrocyte maturation-associated long intergenic non-coding RNA". The record is from RNAcentral. Lineage: Eukaryota; Metazoa; Chordata; Mammalia; Primates; Hominidae.